RNAcentral lists this transfer RNA (71 nucleotides) under Parcubacteria group bacterium CG1_02_40_82. RNAcentral describes it as "tRNA-Gln". It matches the Rfam family "tRNA". From Rfam's summary of the family: Transfer RNA (tRNA) molecules are approximately 80 nucleotides in length. Their secondary structure includes four short double-helical elements and three loops (D, anti-codon, and T loops). The record is from RNAcentral. RNAcentral also lists the same sequence under 5 other names.
UGCGGGGUAGUGUAAUGGUAGCACAUCAGGCUCUGAACCUGAAAAUCGGGGUCCGAAUCCCUGCCCCGCAG